This 253-nucleotide ribosomal RNA is filed under the name uncultured prokaryote. Its description in RNAcentral is "partial 16S ribosomal RNA". It matches the Rfam family "Bacterial small subunit ribosomal RNA", at positions 525 to 777 of the family's 1533-position model. The record is from RNAcentral.
ACGUAUGUGUCAAUCGUUUUCCUUAUUUAUUUUGUUUAAAGUGUGCGUAGUCUGCCAUUUAAGUCAGUGCUGAAAUACUCUAGCUUAACUAGAGGGGUGGCAUUGAUACUGAACGGCUUGAGUGAAGUCGAGGUAGGCGGAAUUGACGGUGUAGCGGUGAAAUGCUUAGAUAUCGUCAAGAACACCGAUAGUGAAGACAGCUUACUAGACUUCAACUGACGCUGAGGCACGAAAGUGUGGGGAUCAAACAGGA